UGGGGAAUUUUGGACAAUGGGGGCAACCCUGAUCCAGCCAUCCCGCGUGUGCGAUGAAGGCCUUCGGGUUGUAAAGCACUUUUGGCAGGGAAGAAACAGCCUGGGAUAAUACCCCGGGCGACUGACGGUACCUGCAGAAUAAGCACCGGCUAACUACGUGCCAGCAGCCGCGGUAAUACGUAGGGUGCAAGCGUUAAUCGGAAUUACUGGGCGUAAAGCGUGCGCAGGCGGUUCGGAAAGAAAGGUGUGAAAUCCCAGGGCUUAACCUUGGAACUGCACUUUUAACUACCGAGCUAGAGUACGUCAGAGGGGGGUAGAAUUCCACGUAUAGCAGUGAAAUGCGUAGAGAUGUGGAGGAAUACCGAUGGCGAAGGCAGCCCCCUGGGAUGAUACUGACGCUCAUGCACGAAAGCGUGGGGAGCAAACAGGAUUAGAUACCCUGGUAGUCCACGCCCUAAACGAUGUCAACUAGCUGUUGGGGUUUAUUAACCUUAGUAGCGCAGCUAACGCGUGAAGUUGACCGCCUGGGGAGUACGGUCGCAAGAUUAAAAC
This 552-nucleotide ribosomal RNA is filed under the name uncultured bacterium. RNAcentral's name for it is "partial 16S ribosomal RNA". It matches the Rfam family "Bacterial small subunit ribosomal RNA", at positions 355 to 900 of the family's 1533-position model. The record is from RNAcentral.